AGAGUUUGAUCAUGGCUCAGGAUGAAUGCUGGCGGCGUGCCUAACACAUGCAAGUCGAGCGGUAACAGGUCUAGUUUACUAGAUGCUGACGAGCGGCGGACGGCUGAGUAACGCGUGGGAACGUGCCCCAAAGUGAGGAAUAACUGCCCGAAAGGGUAGCUAAUACCGCAUAUGAUCUUCGGAUUAAAGGAUUUAUCCGCUUUGGGAGCGGCCCGCGUACGAUUAGAUAGUUGGUGAGGUAAAGGCUCACCAAGUCUACGAUCGUUAGCUGGUCUGAGAGGAUGACCAGCCAGACUGGAACUGAGACACGGUCCAGACUCCUACGGGAGGCAGCAGUGAGGAAUCUUCCACAAUGGGCGAAAGCCUGAUGGAGCAACGCCGCGUGCAGGAUGAAGGCCUUAGGGUUGUAAACUGCUUUUAUAAGUGAAGAAUAUGACGGUAACUUAUGAAUAAGCACCG
Molecule: ribosomal RNA, 459 nt
Filed under: uncultured bacterium
Lineage: Bacteria
Description: bacterial SSU rRNA
Rfam family: Bacterial small subunit ribosomal RNA
Source: RNAcentral